CCCGCCGUAGCUCAGCCCGGUUCUAGAGCGCCCGGCUGUAGGUGAGGGACUAGCUGAUACCGGGUGGUCCGGGGUUCAAGUCCCCGCGGCGGGA
RNAcentral lists this transfer RNA (94 nucleotides) under Stygiolobus caldivivus. Its description in RNAcentral is "Stygiolobus sp. KN-1 tRNA-Tyr". It matches the Rfam family "tRNA". From Rfam's summary of the family: Transfer RNA (tRNA) molecules are approximately 80 nucleotides in length. Their secondary structure includes four short double-helical elements and three loops (D, anti-codon, and T loops). Lineage: Archaea; Thermoproteati; Thermoproteota; Thermoprotei; Sulfolobales; Sulfolobaceae. The record is from RNAcentral.